CAGAUAUUAGAAAAUUAGUCUGUUUGUAUUGGGGAGCAAUUUACUAUUUUACCCAUGUUGCCCUAGCUCGUCACUUUUGUGAAGAAGCAGCAGCAGCAGCAGCAGUAACGGGGAGGCAAGAAGAGAAGUUCUCUCUCUUAAUUACGGCGUCGGUUGGAUGCUUCAUCUUCAAAUUUUCGAUCUUCAGAUUCAGCUGAGCAUCUGCUGCAUCGGUGCUUUUAUUGCUGUGAUUUAAAGUAUUGGUGAAACAGUCAUUCAGCCAUUCUCUACCUUACCUGCACGUUCUCGUUCAAUUUUAAUUCCAAUUGAAAUUACUGAGUGACGGGUGUUCUGCAGAAUGGAUUUGAUCAGUGCCCUGCCAGUAGAUGUAAAACUUGAAAUUCUACAGCGCGGUCCUUUUGAAGAAGCAGCAAGAGCAGACAUCUUGUCAAGUACAAGCAUUUGGUCUGAUCGUCCACAACUUGUGUUUAAUAAGUUCUUCUUUGAAGAGCGCGGCAGAUGGAUCGCACUCGAUCUAACUGCAUGGGUGGACAGAGUGAACGAAACUAUCCGUCGUCACAACGGUCCCAUUGGAAACGUUAUUCUCCACGUUCCGGACAAACAAUUUAAAUGGGCUCCACAUAUUAACAUCUGGGUGUUUUCCCUGUCAAGGAAGAGCAUCGAGGGACUCACUGUGGAUAAUUGCC
Camellia sinensis is the source of this 686-nucleotide non-coding RNA. The record is from RefSeq and is a predicted model, not a curated record. NCBI's taxonomy places the organism in Eukaryota, Viridiplantae, Streptophyta, Magnoliopsida, Ericales, Theaceae.